RNAcentral lists this ribosomal RNA (497 nucleotides) under uncultured bacterium. RNAcentral's name for it is "partial 16S ribosomal RNA". It matches the Rfam family "Bacterial small subunit ribosomal RNA", at positions 28 to 507 of the family's 1533-position model. The record is from RNAcentral.
GAUGAACGCUGGCGGCGUGCCUAAUACAUGCAAGUCGAGCGAACGGACGAGAAGCUUGCUUCUCUGAUGUUAGCGGCGGACGGGUGAGUAACACGUGGAUAACCUACCUAUAAGACUGGGAUAACUUCGGGAAACCGGAGCUAAUACCGGAUGAUAUUUUGAACCGCAUGGUUCACAAGUGAAAGACGGUCUUGCUGUCACUUAUAGAUGGAUCCGCGCUGCAUUAGCUAGUUGGUAAGGUAACGGCUUACCAAGGCAACGAUGCAUAGCCGACCUGAGAGGGUGAUCGGCCACACUGGAACUGAGACACGGUCCAGACUCCUACGGGAGGCAGCAGUAGGGAAGCGUCCGCAAGGGGCGAAAGCCUGACGGAGCAACGACGCGUGAGUGAUGAAGGUCUUCGGAUCGUAAAACUCUGUUAUUAGGGAAGAACAUAUGUGUAAGUAACUGUGCACAGCUUGACGGUGCCUAAUCAGAAAGCCAAGGCUAACUACGUG